AUAAUAUUUUAUUCGUCGAUAUCGCCAUAGAACAAUAUAUCGCCGCCGCGUCCCCGAUAACAGCGUAGAUUACACUCGUGACUCUUCAAAUAUUGUCGUUGCCCUGUACGCGCGCCUAAACUCGCUGACAAACGCAAACACACAGACGACCGAUCGAAGAUAAUAUUGUUAUGAUAUUGUUCUGCAAUAUUACACAGUGUGUAUUACAAAGUUUUCUUUGUCCAUGGUGAAGACUGAAGACCGUAGAACGGGAAAAAUCCAGGCGAGGGCGUGACGCGAACUUUUGUUCUACACACAUGGCACGCGUUUUCUGUUAAUUAUUAUAUUGUUGUUAAUUUCUACCUAUUUUUAGAUAUCGAAAUAUUGUUAUUGGUCACCCGACGCUCUCUGUCACUGUUUCCAGUCGCCUAAUACGAACACCACCGAGUCUGCCGCAUAGGUUCCGCGCACGACAAGGUAUAUAAAUUUCAUGGGUAAAUCAUGAAUUGUAUCAGAGAAAAGAUGUUUGCCAGAACUAGUGAAACAUGUACGUUUGCCAUUAUUAAAGCUUGAUAUAUUAUUUGAUAUAUCUAAAGAACCUCUUCUAAAAAAUACUCCUAAAUGUAAAGGUUAUGUAUUUUAUGCAUUACAAAUUAUUCUACUAAAAUCAGGUCAAUAUAUUUCCAUUCCAAUGUAUUUGGAUAAAAUUAGGUGUAAAUCUAGACAGUUUGGUGAUUCAUAAAAAGUAUAAUACCAUUUUAAUUAAUUUAUUUUCACAAUUAUUUAGUCCAUUUCAUUCUAUUAUGGUAUUCUAAUGAUCAGUCGGUCUAAUACAUCGCCAAUGUGUUGUACAGAUUAUGCUAUCAAUUACAGAAUGGAGGUGUACAUAAAUCAAGUUCAAAAUCUAUGUGUAUGCUUGAUGUAUCUUCUCAGUCAUCCUCUUGGUUACUAAUUGUCGGCAUUUUAGUUAGUUGAACACGAUUAGGAGUUGGUGUACUGGAUGAUUGUAUAUAUACAGUUGAUGGCAAGAAUGGUACUAAUAAUUUUAAAGACUGCCGAAGUUUUUGAUGUCAGUAUUCAAAAAUAGCGAUUGGGUGUCUUGUAUGACAACUGAGAGAUAUAAUUUGGGUUUUGGUAUACUCAAUAAUCGUUUAUAUGCGGUUGGCGGUGGUAAUAGAAUAGUUUUGAAAACUGUGGAAUAUUAUGACACUUUGCACAUGCACACCAGCUGCAAAAAUAUCUGUAUGUCGUGAAGGUGUUAAUGUAGGAAUCUUGGAGGGUCUUAUGUAUGCUAUUGGUGGCUAUGAUGGGAGAGUAUCUUAAAAGUUUUUGUAGACCAAGUGAUGGAGUUUGGUCUUCUAUUCCUGAGUUAUGCCGACUUUGUCCUGUUUUAUAUAGGAAUAGUGGCAUUCAAUGGUUUAUUAUAUGUUAUUGGUGAAGAAACUAAAAAAUCUAUUGCCAAUACCGUAGAAAUUACCCAAUUACCAAACUUGGACCAUGGAGUCAUUGUCAUUUUCAAGACAUGGACUACGAAUUUAUAGUUGAGUAGUCGUUAAUAAACCACCAAAUUAUAACUAAUUAAGCUUAUAUGACAAUCUUAUUGUUGGUAGUAAUAUGAACAUCUUAUUAAUUAUAAAUAGUUUAUGAUAAAACGUGUAUUGUUCUAUACAUUU
This 1652-nucleotide long non-coding RNA is filed under the name Acyrthosiphon pisum (pea aphid). Its description in RNAcentral is "uncharacterized LOC107885716, transcript variant X1". The record is from RNAcentral. Lineage: Eukaryota; Metazoa; Arthropoda; Insecta; Hemiptera; Aphididae.